Unclassified non-coding RNA from Ochotona princeps (American pika), 324 nucleotides. Its record names the gene 7SK. It matches the Rfam family "7SK RNA". Rfam says of the family: 7SK was discovered as an abundant small nuclear RNA in the mid-70s but a possible function has only recently been suggested. Two independent studies have found that 7SK RNA binds the CDK9/cyclin T complex (known as elongation factor P-TEFb). The record is from Ensembl. NCBI's taxonomy places the organism in Eukaryota, Metazoa, Chordata, Mammalia, Lagomorpha, Ochotonidae.
GGAUGUGAGGGCAAUCCGGCCACCGCAUCUGUCACCCCAUUGAUUGCCAGGGUUGAUUCAGCUGAUCUGGCUGGCUAGGUGGGUGCUCCCUUCCUCCCUCACUGUUCCAUGCGCACGUCUCCCGAAGCUGCACACUCAAUCGAAAAGGACAACCUUCCCUGCUAGUGCAGAAACAGAUUUUGGUCAAAGACAUGUGAGUGGCUGUGAUCCCCUACUAGAACCUUCGAAUAGGCUCUCAAGAGAAUACCUACAGUUUCUUUUAUUAAAUACCAAAGUUAAAUGUCUCCUGGUGUAAAGUAUAUACUUUGUAAUCAACUCUCUCAC